UGCAUUUGUAGUUUAUAGAGGAUGAGAAUCUCCGAAGGAGGUUUGAGCCGAGCGCAGCGAGACAACGUUGCUUUAGCAACGGCCCGCAGGGCGCGUCACGCAGUGACAAGUAAUCCUCUCUCGCCGACCA
This 130-nucleotide small RNA is filed under the name Buttiauxella izardii. RNAcentral describes it as "RtT sRNA". It matches the Rfam family "RtT RNA". From Rfam's summary of the family: This family represents a bacterial cis-regulatory element known as RtT RNA. The exact function of RtT is unknown although it is thought that it may be involved in changing the cellular response in relation to amino acid starvation. Lineage: Bacteria; Pseudomonadati; Pseudomonadota; Gammaproteobacteria; Enterobacterales; Enterobacteriaceae. The record is from RNAcentral.